GGCGGAGCCACGCCGCCGUGGCCCAGCUGGGAGAGCUCUCGGUGUUGGCCUGGUGGCGCGGGUGGCCGGCUUCGCUAGGUAGGAACCUCACGAACGGCCUGCUGACCUCUUGGCCUCACACUCCCUUCCUGACACGCUGGGCUUGGACCCGCCGCCGCAGAGUGCGCGGCCUCGGAAGCCCCGGCUCAAGGGUCCAAUCACCGGAAGUGCCGCCUAGGGCGGCCGGGAGAGGGAAGAAUUGAAUAUAUGAGUAGUUCUGGAUUAGAGACCUUGUGGAGCCAAAAGGAAAAGUCAUUGAGUUCUUGUUAUGAAAGCUGUUUUAAUUUUGAUUUUCUCAAGACCAGAAAGUGAAUGCUGUUUUUCUUCUGUCUAUAUUAUAGGUUUGGAGGUACCAAGUAAGAAAUUAAUAUAUAUGAUGCUGGAAAUUUGUAAAUGCAAACUGCUAAUGAAUGAAAGGCUUGAAACAGAUCUGUUUUUGAAGUUACCAGGAAAAUGACUAUGAAAACGGCUCAAGAAGACCAAUGGAAAACCACUUAGGAGGGAGCCAUAGAAAAUGUACACUUCAGAAGAGAGAUGUAACCAGAGAACUCAAAAAAGAAAAAUAUACCAUGUAUGCCCUCAGAAGGGGAAAAAGAUUUAUAUUCAUGUACAUGAGAUUACUCCAAUAGAUAAUCAAAUAUAUCAGUGCCUUGAACGUGAACAGAACUUUUGUGAAAACUUAGCACGUAUGUGUGAGAAAACAUAUACUGGGGAGAAACCUUACAGAUGUGAUAUGUGUGAGAAAACCUUCAUCCAAAGUUCAGAUCUUAUUUCACACCAGAGGAUCCAUAAUUAUGAGAAACCUUAUAAGUGUAGCAAAUGUGAGAAGAGCUUUUGGCACCACUUAGCCCUCUCAGGACACCAGAGAACACAUGCAGGUAAAAAGUUUUAUACCUGUGACAUCUGUGGCAAGAACUUUGGUCAGAGCUCUGAUCUGCUUGUCCACCAACGAAGCCAUACAGGGGAAAAACCUUAUCUGUGUAGUGAGUGUGAUAAAUGUUUCAGUCGAAGUACAAAUCUCAUAAGGCACCGAAGAACUCACACAGGUGAGAAACCAUUUAAGUGUCUGGAAUGUGAAAAAGCUUUUAGUGGGAAAUCGGAUCUUAUUAGCCACCAAAGGACUCAUACCGGUGAAAGACCCUACAAAUGCAAUAAAUGUGAGAAAAGUUAUCGACACCCGCUCAGCCUUCAUUGUACAUAAAAGAGUUCAUACCGGGGAGAAGCCGUACAAGUGUGGUGCCUGUGAGAAGUGCUUUGGCCAGAAAUCAGACCUUAUUGUACACCAGAGAGUCCAUACCGGUGAGAAACCAUAUAAAUGCUUGGAGUGCAUGAGAAGUUUUACUCGGAGUGCCAACCUAAUUCGGCACCAGGCAACUCACACUCAUACUUUCAAAUGCCUUGAAUAUGAGAAAAGUUUCAACUGUGGCUCAGACCUUAUUGUACAUCAGAGAAUUCACAUGGAAGAAAAACCACAUCAGUGGUCUAUGUGUGAGAGUGGUUUCUUCCUAGGUAUGGACUUCGUUGCCCAGCAGAAAAUGAGGACUCAGCCAGAGGAGCUGCAUUAUAAAUACAGUGUAUGUGAUAAAAGCUUUCACCAUAGCUCAGCCCUUCUUCAGCAUCAGACAGUACACAUUGGUGAAGACUACAUCUGUAAUGGGAGUGAAAAAGGUCUGGAUCUUAGCUCUCAUGCAUCGGAAACCUCGCGGAUGUCUUGACAGGAAGUCACAUAACCUUAAAAAAAAGGUACUUUACACAUCCGAACUCAUUAAGAGAAAGACUUGAAGGUGAAUUUCAGAUUUCCCUCAAAUCUUAGACUUCAUUGGGGGCCAGAGAGAAAGAGAGUCUACAGUCUUAGGAACUGUAAGAAAAGCUUUAUACAGAGAAUGGAUCUAUCAGGACACCAUUGUUAGCCACAUUUGCGAAGAACUCCACAAAUGCUCUGGGUUUGGAAAACCUUCCACACAAGAAGGUUCAUCAGAUCGGAAGCCGUACACGUGCAGUAUGGGAGCUCUCCAGCAGUGGUAAGCCCUCAUCAUUACAAGAGAAUUCACACCAGAGAACAACCAUUUAAAUGCUUUGUGUCAGCAGUACUUUGGACAGUAUGUACGCCUUAUUGGAUAUCAGAAAAGUCACCCUGGGGAGAAACCCCAGAAAUUAGAGGAAAAAGUUCUAACAAAAUUCUGACUUUCUUACCCAUCACAGAAGCCAUACUGGUAUAGAUGAAUAUUUGUCUUGAGUGUGGCAGAAACAUUUGUUGGAGAGUCUUACAUGGGUUUGCAUCCUCCUAAACAAGAAUCAGAAGACAGAUAAGUGUCUGAAUGAGAAAAUCUUGCUAAUUUUCAGCUUUUGGGGUGUAUCAGGGAACUCACAGCAGUGAAAAGCCCUAAAUGCUUUGUGUCUGAGAAGCUAGAAGCUCUCAUCUAAUUGGGCCCCAAAGAACCGGUUCUCCAGAGGAGUUGUUCCAGUGUGAGAGAUCUAGUUGUGGGUGAGAAUCUGUACAUAGGGCUAUGUCUGAGAAGAGCUGUUCUUGUAGUUGAACCAUGUUGUAAAAAAUUAAAUAGAGUUGUAUGGAAGGAAAUAGUGUCUUAGCGACCCAGAAGCUUGUUCUGGGGGAGCUGGGGCAGGUCAGCGUGGAUCUGAAGGGUAACUCAGGUAAAGACGCUUUUCUUUUGUCUGAACCACUUAAUGAUUGCUUUAGUUUCACUUUUAAGAACUCAUAAAUCCAGUAAAGGAAAGGAUUGUAAUCUUGGGUAUAAGGUAGGGCAUGGGUUAUUGUUGGAAGAAAGGAGUGCUUUGCUUUUUGCUUUUUUUUUAACUCUCUGGAAUGGGAAUGGUAUGUUGCUAGCCGGCUGUGAAAAGCACUAAGAAGCUAGGGAGUACUUAGCUCGGGUUAAAAUCCUCAGUAGUUUCCCCAUUGCAUGAUCAGCUUCCGCAAAAAGCAGAACACUUUACUUAGUGUUGAGAUCUGCCCUCAAAAUUGUCCAAAAUUUUCCCUGAAGUAUCUUUUGGAGUUAACACUGAAAUUUCAAAUUUAGAGAUUCAUUUCAAGUGAGAAUAACAAAUUCCAGGAUACUGGUUAUGAUGAUGUUACAGUAUCUAGGUUUUUGUGACUUGUUACAUCUCUUUCAGUGAUAAAUAGCGUAUCAGCUGGCUCAGAACAGGAAUAGGGCGAAAGUUGUUAACCACAGAAAGCAGAGGAGAGACACAAUGAAGCGCUCUUCAUGGAGGAAGGGACACUGAUUUUGAGGGUCCUGACUCCAAAGCUUAUGUUCUACAUUCUAUUAUCCUGAUACUUGCAGCAAAUUAAGCUUCAUAAUGACACAUUUUUUUUCAUUUAUUUCAGUUCUGUCAAGGAAAGAAAAAUACAGUUUAAUCCCAGGGAAAGGAUUGCAGUCAACACAAUAUAAGGUAUAUUCUUGGUUUGGAAUGCAGGAUUCUAAAUGUUAGAAAAGUAGUUGGCAGAUUCACCUGAGGUUUAAGGAUAAACAUUUGUUUCCAGUGCAGUAGGUUAAUUGAUUGUCUUUAACAUACUUUGGAUAGCUCACGACCCAAGAAUCUUAUGGUCCUUCUCAUUAUUUUUCUUUCUUUGGCUUAAAAGACUUUUAAUUCAAAUAUUUCAAGUUCCUGUGGUAUUUGGGACUCUGUAGAAUAUAAUUAUUUUAUUGUUAAUCACAGUCCUCUGGUUUUGUUGUAAUUUGUUUAGUGAACCCUGAAUUCCAUGGGGUAUUAGUGUUUAGCGUCAUGAAAUUGAUCUGGUGAUACCUUACAUGUGGCUGUAAGCUCUCAACCUGAUAGUUGUUUGAUAAUCAUAAUCUUAAGGCCAGUGAAUUUAGCUCAGUAAAGAAUCUGGUUCCAGUGUUUUUCCUUUUAAAAAACCAGUUGUGUCAGUUUUAAUCUGACGUGUUCUAGUAAUUUUUAUAAAUAACUUUAGUACUAUGAAAAUUUGUCCAUUGUGAUAAACACACACAAGAUAUGUAUUUUUCUCCUUGGGGAAUAUCAUGCCUAUUACUAGCAAAAGUUUCAUAAUUGUGAUGCUUAAACUAAUAUUGGGUGUAUGACAACCUCAGUAAAAAAUGAAUUAGUUAUUAUGGCUGCUCAUUAGUGCUCAUUAGAGAGACCAUGGAGAAAGAGACAAAGUUUAAAACAUUAGUAGGUUGGUGACUUACCCUUCAGCCUGUCUCACUGGCAAUUGUCUAUAGUCUCUAAGUAAACUAACAGUGGACCAUUCCUCAAACAGAACUUUGAGGAUGUAAAGCAGGCCUGAGGCCUGUUAACUAUGGUGAGAAGGUGUUGAUAUUACAUAGCAUAACCUGAGGUUGGAGAGGACCACUUGGGAGCCUGUAACCAAAGCUAGAAGGUGGUAACUUCUGGGAUGGAUGGAGGUUCCCUUGAAGCAGUGCCAACCCAAAUCUACCUCAGGUAAGUAGUUAGAGUAAGUUUUUCAAGAUUUCAGACCAAAUGAGAUAAAUUAUAUUCCGUCCAUGUACUCCUCUAUGCUUUAUUGUUUUUGUUUACCUUUAAUUCUUAAAUAAACAUUUGUUCGGAAAAACUCUA
Peromyscus californicus insignis is the source of this 4593-nucleotide long non-coding RNA. RefSeq lists it as uncharacterized. Lineage: Eukaryota; Metazoa; Chordata; Mammalia; Rodentia; Cricetidae. The record is from RefSeq and is a predicted model, not a curated record. The transcript has 4 exons.